Long non-coding RNA from Frieseomelitta varia, 729 nucleotides. RefSeq lists it as uncharacterized. Lineage: Eukaryota; Metazoa; Arthropoda; Insecta; Hymenoptera; Apidae. The transcript is spliced from 2 exons. The record is from RefSeq and is a predicted model, not a curated record.
UGCUUUUAAACAUUGACAGUUGACAGUAUUUCCACAAAUUACGAGAAGAUAUUAAUUAAGAGGAAUCAUUUGUGAACUUUUAUGGUUGCAUCAUCGAUUUUAGAGACCCUAAGCUUGGUUUUUGUUUUAAGUAUAGUUUAUGUAUAUAGAGAGUGUUUCAAUUACGUUAGUAGUGCCUGUAGUGAGUGCAUAAUUUCGCGCAAACUAUAGUGAAUAUUAGAUUCAGAUUUAUUUGCCAACGUAACUGAUGGCAUUAUCUUUGAAAUAUGUGCUCGUGGAGUGCAAAUUAGUAGCGUGAAAAGUUAAAAUUAAUUAUUACGCUUAUAUGGUUAUGGAGCAUUUAGUUCCACCGGUCUGCCACAACGCGGCGCUAGUGUUUUUCUUACCCCGUAAAACAGAGAAAUUUUCAUUUGCGAAAAAAACUAAUUUAGCGAGAUGAAUUGUGAACUUUGACGCUGAUCGGAGGAUGUCCUUGUCGCACCCUAUAUGCGACAAGGACAGGCAUAUACGCGCGGUAGACAAGGAGGCCAACAGUGACAAAGGACAUGCGAUUUUAGUUCCAUUGUUCUGCCAUAAGGCGGCGCUAGUGUUUCAUACCCGCUAAAACAGACAAAUUUUGAUUUGCGAAAAGAACUAAUUUAGUGAAAUGAAUUGUGAACUUUUGUGAUUGUAUUACCCUAAUUAGACCCUUAGCUUCCUUUUCAUACCCCAUUUGAAUCGUAAAAUGCA